RNAcentral lists this long non-coding RNA (1256 nucleotides) under Lactuca sativa (garden lettuce). Its description in RNAcentral is "long non-coding RNA (LSAT_LNC000763)". The record is from RNAcentral. Lineage: Eukaryota; Viridiplantae; Streptophyta; Magnoliopsida; Asterales; Asteraceae.
UAUUUAGUGUAAUACUAUUCAUAUCACCCAAAAUGGGGGAAUAAAUGGAGGAGGGUUGGAGAAUAAUGAGGGAAAAAAUGAAGAAUUAGAGUUGGUUGGAGAUGCUCUUAAGGUUAGAAUUACAUUGCUUUCAAAGAAACCUAGUUUGCAUGCCCAAAAGAAGAAAAAUGAGACCUUUUUUUUCUAGUGGAUGAUAUGUCGUUGUUUAAAGAACCAGACAAGGUAGAAUUUAUUUUUGGCAUAUUUGGUCCCUCGGGUCUAACAUGCUUGCAAAAAACAACCAAAUCUGAAUUCUCUUAACACCAUAAGUUCUGAAAAUUACGAAUAAGUCCUUGGGUUUCUAUUUUCCAUAUUAUUAAUAUUAUUAUUAUUAUUAUUGUUAUUGUGAUGCUUUUUAUUUGUAACGUCGUAAAUUUUCAAAACAAAAUUUUCAUUUCAAAUCACAUAAUUCUCAUAAUCUAUUUCACAAAAAUCUCAUUUAUUAAGUUUACAACUCAAAACUUUAUAAUUGCUCGGUUAAAAUCCAGGAUCCUCAAAAACGUAACUCUCUCACUGGUGUGUACAAUCAAGUCGGUGCCUUCUCGCGAUCCUGAGAACAACCUGAAACACAUAACACAUAACACGGUAAGCACGAAGCUUAGUGAGUUCCCCAAAAUACCACAUACAACAAUUCGCCACUCGAGGCUAUACUCUGUACAACCCUCUGGUCACUGUGUCUCAGCGGGACUCUCCAGUCCUGUAGCUCGUUGGACCCUCUAGCCAGGUCUAACUCGUUGGACCCUCCGGUCCGGUUUGGUUGAGGACCCUCCAGCCUCGUAAAUCGUUGGACNUAAUGAACAAAAAACAAACUUUAUAUUUAUAAUUAAUUAAUAUAAUUUAAUAUAUAAAAAAUAUUAUAAGUAUUAAAUAUUAUAUUUAAAUUAUAAUUAGUUGGUAAAAAUGAACUAGAAAUGUAUAAAUAGAUAAAAGAGGGACUAAAACCGACAACGCAAAGUUCACCCCCAUUUUGGGAGAAUUAAAUAGUAUAAUACCAUAUUUAGUGUAAUACUAUUCAUAUCACCCAAAAUGGGGGAAUAAAUGGAGGAGGGUUGGAGAAUAAUGAGGGAAAAAAUGAAGAAUUAGAGUUGGUUGGAGAUGCUCUUAAGGUUAGAAUUACAUUGCUUUCAAAGAAACCUAGUUUGCAUGCCCAAAAGAAGAAAAAUGAGACCUUUUUUUUCUAGUGGAUGAUAUGUCGUUGUUUAAAGAACCAGACAAGG